Small nucleolar RNA from Lathyrus oleraceus (garden pea), 107 nucleotides. The record is from RefSeq and is a predicted model, not a curated record. NCBI's taxonomy places the organism in Eukaryota, Viridiplantae, Streptophyta, Magnoliopsida, Fabales, Fabaceae.
AGCCCAGGAUGAUGAUAUAACCUUAACAUUUCUUUAAAUCGCUCUCAGGCUUCAUAGAGUGAUUCCUCGUCCUUUUAGGUGAAACUCGUAAUUUGGUCCCUUACUUU